Molecule: small nuclear RNA, 165 nt
Filed under: Echinops telfairi (small Madagascar hedgehog)
Lineage: Eukaryota; Metazoa; Chordata; Mammalia; Afrosoricida; Tenrecidae
Description: U1 spliceosomal RNA (ENSETEG00000021699.1)
Rfam family: U1 spliceosomal RNA
About the family: U1 is a small nuclear RNA (snRNA) component of the spliceosome (involved in pre-mRNA splicing). Its 5' end forms complementary base pairs with the 5' splice junction, thus defining the 5' donor site of an intron.
Source: RNAcentral
AUACUUACCUGGCAGGGGAGACACCAUGAUCCAGGAAGGUGCUUUUCCAAGGGCAAGGCUCACCCAUUGCACUGCGGGUGUGCUCACCCCUGCGAUUUCCCCAAAUGUGGGAUAUUCGACUGCAUAAUUUGUGGUAGUGGGGGACUGCAUUCACACUCUCUCCUG